RNAcentral lists this ribosomal RNA (253 nucleotides) under uncultured bacterium. RNAcentral's name for it is "partial 16S ribosomal RNA". It matches the Rfam family "Bacterial small subunit ribosomal RNA", at positions 524 to 776 of the family's 1533-position model. The record is from RNAcentral.
GACGUAGGGCGCGAGCGUUGUCCGGAUUUAUUGGGCGUAAAGAGCUCGUAGGCGGCUUGUCGCGUCGGCUGUGAAAACCCGCGGCUCAACUGUGGGCGGGCAGCUGAUACGGGCAGGCUGGAGUUCGGUAGGGGAGACUGGAAUUCCUGGUGUAGCGGUGAAAUGCGCAGAUAUCAGGAGGAACACCGAUGGCGAAGGCAGGUCUCUGGGCCACUACUGACGCUGAGAAGCGAAAGCAUGGGGAGCGAACAGG